This 265-nucleotide long non-coding RNA is filed under the name Daucus carota (carrot). RNAcentral describes it as "long non-coding RNA (DCAR_LNC006558)". The record is from RNAcentral. Lineage: Eukaryota; Viridiplantae; Streptophyta; Magnoliopsida; Apiales; Apiaceae.
GGUUCCGAAAGCGGGAGUGGAGGAAGAAGCGAAGGGGUUAGGGUUAGGGUUAGGGGUGGCGAAGGGGUUGGGUGUGAGUUGGGGAGUGGAGGCGGCGGGUGUGGCGAAGGGGUUAGGGGUGCCGAAUGCGGGGGUGGAUGAGGGAGUGCCGAAGGCGGGGCUCGAGUUGGCCGGUGUUCCGAACAUCCUGCUGCUGCUGCUGCUGCUGCUGCUGCUGCUGCUUGUGCUUAAGAGGAGGAGGAGGAAACCCUAGAUUAGAUUAUAG